Antechinus flavipes (yellow-footed antechinus) is the source of this 311-nucleotide long non-coding RNA. RefSeq lists it as uncharacterized. NCBI's taxonomy places the organism in Eukaryota, Metazoa, Chordata, Mammalia, Dasyuromorphia, Dasyuridae. The transcript is spliced from 2 exons. The record is from RefSeq and is a predicted model, not a curated record.
AAUCUGGGAAGAGGCUUAGAUAGAAAAAAGAAAACGCGCUCUCUGCGCAAAGCCCGCUGGGAGUUGUAGGAAAAAAAAAAAAAAAGUUGAAGCCUGUAAAGAAUUUCCGGCUCGAAAGAAAAGCAAGGAAGCCGACUGGAAGUUGUAAAGGAAGAGUUGGAGAAACGACGGAUUCUCUUCAAGGAAAGCUUCACUCGAGGGAAGGAGACUCUGGGAAGAAGCCCACAUAUAGAGAUGUAUGUCAUUUAUGGUUGUAUUUGUUGAAUGAAUGUUCAGCCAAUCAUUUAUUAUCAAUAAAUAUUUCUAAAGUG